CAGUAGCCGCGGUAAUACGGAGGGUGCAAGCGUUAAUCGGAAUUACUGGGCGUAAAGCGUGCGUAGGCGGUUCGUUAAGUCUGUUGUGAAAGCCCCGGGCUCAACCUGGGAAUGGCAAUGGAUACUGGCGAGCUAGAGUGUGUCAGAGGAUGGUGGAAUUCCCGGUGUAGCGGUGAAAUGCGUAGAGAUCGGGAGGAACAUCAGUGGCGAAGGCAGCCAUCUGGGACAACACUGACGCUGAGGCACGAAAGCGUGGGGAGCAAACAGGAUUAGAUACCCCUGUAGUCCCUGUCUCUUAUAA
This 301-nucleotide ribosomal RNA is filed under the name uncultured bacterium. RNAcentral describes it as "partial 16S ribosomal RNA". It matches the Rfam family "Bacterial small subunit ribosomal RNA", at positions 509 to 809 of the family's 1533-position model. The record is from RNAcentral.